This 69-nucleotide transfer RNA is filed under the name Bombus schrencki. RNAcentral describes it as "tRNA-Asp". The record is from RNAcentral. Lineage: Eukaryota; Metazoa; Arthropoda; Insecta; Hymenoptera; Apidae.
AAAAAAUUAGUUAAAUAUUUAUAACAUUAGAUUGUCAUUCUAAAAUUAAUAUAAAUAUAUUAUUUUUUA